AUUGAACGCUGGCGGCAUGCUUUACACAUGCAAGUCGAACGGUAACAGGUUAAGCUGACGAGUGGCGAACGGGUGAGUAAUGCAUCGGAACGUGCCCGAUCGUGGGGGAUAACACUUCGAAAGAAGUGCUAAUACCGCAUACGAUCUGAGGAUGAAAGCGGGGGACCGUAAGGCCUCGCGCGAUCGGAGCGGCCGAUGUCAGAUUAGGUCGUUGGUGGGGUAAAGGCUCACCAAGCCGACGAUCUGUAGCUGGUCUGAGAGGACGACCAGCCACACUGGGACUGAGACACGGCCCAGACUCCUACGGGAGGCAGCAGUGGGGAAUUUUGGACAAUGGGCGCAAGCCUGAUCCAGCAAUGCCGCGUGCAGGAAGAAGGCCUUCGGGUUGUAAACUGCUUUUGUACGGAGCGAAAAGGCUCCCUCUAAUACAGGGGACUUAUGACGGUACCGUAAGAAUAAGCACCGGCUAACUACGUGCCAGCAGCCGCAGUAA
This 493-nucleotide ribosomal RNA is filed under the name uncultured bacterium. Its description in RNAcentral is "partial 16S ribosomal RNA". It matches the Rfam family "Bacterial small subunit ribosomal RNA", at positions 30 to 523 of the family's 1533-position model. The record is from RNAcentral.